GAUGAACGCUGGCGGCGUGCCUAAUACAUGCAAGUCGAGCGAACAGACGAGGAGCUUGCUCCUCUGACGUUAGCGGCGGACGGGUGAGUAACACGUGGAUAACCUACCUAUAAGACUGGGAUAACUUCGGGAAACCGGAGCUAAUACCGGAUAAUAUAUUGAACCGCAUGGUUCAAUAGUGAAAGACGGUUUUGCUGUCACUUAUAGAUGGAUCCGCGCCGCAUUAGCUAGUUGGUAAGGUAACGGCCUACCAAGGCAACGAUGCGUAGCCGACCUGAGAGGGUGAUCGGCCACACUGGGACUGAGACACGGUCCAGACUCCUACGGGAGGCAGCAGUAGGGAAUCUUCCGCAAUGGGCGAAAGCCUGACGGAGCAACGCCGCGUGAGUGAUGAAGGUCUUCGGAUCGUAAAACUCUGUUAUUAGGGAAGAACAAAUGUGUAAGUAACUAUGCACGUCUUGACGGUACCUAAUCAGAAAGCCACGGCUAACUACGUG
This 497-nucleotide ribosomal RNA is filed under the name uncultured bacterium. RNAcentral describes it as "partial 16S ribosomal RNA". It matches the Rfam family "Bacterial small subunit ribosomal RNA", at positions 28 to 507 of the family's 1533-position model. The record is from RNAcentral.